This 773-nucleotide non-coding RNA is filed under the name Pontoscolex corethrurus. The record is from RNAcentral. Lineage: Eukaryota; Metazoa; Annelida; Clitellata; Crassiclitellata; Glossoscolecidae.
GCAGUUUGAUUUUAGCUGAAAUAUUAACUACAUAAUCCCGCUACAUGUAAGUACACGCCCUAAACUUCACACUAAAGGUCAAAUAUACUAAAUAAAGAUCCCUUGAAAUACCGACACAGUAGGCAAAUCUCCAAAUUUAAGAAAUUAAGAAGGGGGGAAUUAUAUAUAGAACUAGCAAAACUCGUGCCAGCCGCUGCGGUUAGACGACAAAUUCAAGUUAAUACACCACUAAUUAUACAAAGAGUAAUUAAACAGCCCAAAGGUCUAAUUUCCACCGCCCGUACGCCCACACCCUCAACCAGAUACGUGAAAGCAUUAACCUAAAACACGGAUUAGAUACCCGUCUAUUUAUGCCAUAAAUAAAUAAUUGAACAAUACGGUCAAAAGACUAAAAAUCAAAAAAUUUGGCGGUGUUUCAUCAAACCAGGGGAACCUGUCCCAUAAAUCGAUAAUCCACGAACAAUUUACCUUCUAUAGCCAAUGAGCAGCCUGUGUACUGCCGUCGCAAGCUAACCUUUAAAAGAAAGUUAGCAAACAUACCCCAUAACUACGUCAGGUCAAAGUGCAGCCAAUAAGUAGGAGGAACGAUGGGUUACAACCUAUAUAUAGAUAACGCACCAGAGUUAAAAAAAUUCUAUAAAGGUGGACUUGGAUGUAAUUCAAGCAACAAUGCCAAAAUUAAUACAGAUCUGAAACAUGUACACAUCGCCCGUCACUCCUCCCUAAAGGGAGGAUAAGUCGUAACAUAGCUGGCGUAAUGGAAAUUGCGCCCA